Non-coding RNA from Parasteatoda tepidariorum (common house spider), 738 nucleotides. The record is from RefSeq and is a predicted model, not a curated record. NCBI's taxonomy places the organism in Eukaryota, Metazoa, Arthropoda, Arachnida, Araneae, Theridiidae.
CCAAAUGCGUAAAAGUUGGCAGGUAUGCAUUAGUACUUAAAAAUUUAAGCAAGCGAUAAAUUAUCUUUUAGGGAAUAGGGACUUUUCUGAAAUGUCCGAAAACCAGGAAAAUUUUUAUUGUACGAGUAGACCAGGAGAAAAUGGCAAAAUCCAAUAGUCGACUGGUAAAUCCAGGAGAAAUGGCAGCUAUGUGUAUCAUAUCUUACUGAAAUUUUAAAUUUUAGUGUUGUUGAAUACCAAAAUGGUGGCAGCUACUUUAACAACCAAGUAUUUUUAAAAGGACAUUUUCGGUGUUUCACUAUUUCAAGAAUUAUUUUUUGUUCUUUGGAUAACAAAAUACUUAAGUACAAAGAGUUAUUUAUGGUGUUUCACUUUGGUGUAAAGUAGUUGCCACCAUUUUCGGCAUUGAGAUAAUUGUUGCUCCAAAGUUGUAACAGAAAAACGAUGUCUCUUGCAGGAGAAGUCGUUAUUGCAGUUGAAGGGGAAUGAUGACAAAAUUUGUCCACCGAAGUGUAUUGAGAACUGUGCUUGAUGUUAACUUUUUGCUAUUCGUGAUCGAAAUGGACUAGAGGUUUCGUAGAUAAGAACUCUCUACUUAUGGCAACGCAUGUUUUCAUCAUCAGCGUGUGGAGAGUCAUAGGAGAAGAAAAUGGUCACCAUUGAUUUUCUGAAAAAAAAGAAGAGUUACUGGUCCCUCCACUGGCAAGUGAAAUGUGGCUAUUUGCAACUAAAAUCGAG